Molecule: ribosomal RNA, 744 nt
Filed under: Dictyuchus monosporus
Lineage: Eukaryota; Oomycota; Saprolegniomycetes; Saprolegniales; Achlyaceae
Description: eukaryotic LSU rRNA
Rfam family: 5.8S ribosomal RNA (bases 201-355)
Source: RNAcentral
UAAUUAGGCUGGAAGAGGAGUACAUGUCGUAACAAGGCAUAUUAUCCACCGGAAUGGAUAGUGUAGUUGUAUGAGGUUUCAUUUUGAAACCGUAGGUAUUUCAUCUUGUAUGGAAUACUGAUAUUAUUGAAUCCCUACAAAUAAGAAAUUGUCUGACUUUUUAUAUGGUAUAUAGAAAUAUGUACUUUAAAUGUCUAUACAACUUUCAACAGUGGAUGUCUUGGCUUGCACAUCGAUGAAGAACGCUGCGAACUGCGAUACGUAAUGCGAAUUGCAGAAUUCAGUGAGUCAUCAAAAUUUUGAACGCAUAUUGCACUUUCGGGUUAGUCCUGGGAGUAUGUUUGUAUCAGUGUCCGUUCACACACAAUUGUUUCAUGUAUAUGAAACAGAAUAUGAAGUGUCUUGUAUAUAUAAAACAAGUCCUUUUAAAAAGAGAUACCUACCUACAAACUCGUAAGAGAGGUAUGUAUUGUUUGCAUUUCAUAUAUUGUUUUGUAUGUACCUUCUUAACAAUGAGGAAUGGAAACAAAUUGCGGUAGUUUUAUCUGUACUUUUGUAUGGAUGAACAAUAUAUUGCUUUUUGUAUUCAUGCCUACAGUUUGGUUGUGGAUAUACUUGACAAGAAGUGUAGAAUGGUAUAUACUUGUAGUGUAGAAGCAUAUUGGGAAAACCAUUCCAAUUUGGACCUGAUAUCAAACAAGAUUACCCGCUGAACUUAAGCAUAUCAAAAAGCCGGGAGGGAAA